This 475-nucleotide ribosomal RNA is filed under the name uncultured organism. Its description in RNAcentral is "partial 16S ribosomal RNA". It matches the Rfam family "Bacterial small subunit ribosomal RNA", at positions 329 to 796 of the family's 1533-position model. The record is from RNAcentral.
ACGUACACUCCUACGGGAGGCAGCAGUGGGGAAUAUUGCACAAUGGGCGCAAGCCUGAUGCAGCCAUGCCGCGUGUAUGAAGAAGGCCUUCGGGUUGUAAAGUACUUUCAGCGGGGAGGAAGGCGAUAAGGUUAAUAACCUUGUCGAUUGACGUUACCCGCAGAAGAAGCACCGGCUAACUCCGUGCCAGCAGCCGCGGUAAUACGGAGGGUGCAAGCGUUAAUCGGAAUUACUGGGCGUAAAGCGCACGCAGGCGGUCUGUCAAGUCGGAUGUGAAAUCCCCGGGCUCAACCUGGGAACUGCAUUCGAAACUGGCAGGCUAGAGUCUUGUAGAGGGGGGUAGAAUUCCAGGUGUAGCGGUGAAAUGCGUAGAGAUCUGGAGGAAUACCGGUGGCGAAGGCGGCCCCCUGGACAAAGACUGACGCUCAGGUGCGAAAGCGUGGGGAGCAAACAGGAUUAGAAACCCUUGUAGUCC